Molecule: ribosomal RNA, 253 nt
Filed under: uncultured bacterium
Lineage: Bacteria
Description: partial 16S ribosomal RNA
Rfam family: Bacterial small subunit ribosomal RNA
Source: RNAcentral
UACGUAUGGUGCAAGCGUUAUCCGGAUUUACUGGGUGUAAAGGGAGCGUAGGCGGCGCGUUAAGUCUGAUGUGAAAACCCGAGGCUCAACCACGGAAGUGCAUUGGAAACUGGCGUGCUGGAGUGCCGGAGAGGUAAGCGGAAUUCCUAGUGUAGCGGUGAAAUGCGUAGAUAUUAGGAGGAACACCAGUGGCGAAGGCGGCUUACUGGACGGCAACUGACGCUGAGGCUCGAAAGCGUGGGGAGCAAACAGG